AAUUAAGAGAACAUGAUGUUGGUUCAGAUCUAAUGCUAUGUAGAGACAUAACACAUGCAAGUUAAGUAAAUUAAGCGUUAAGGUGAGUUUUAUAAGAUAAUAAAAAAUCUUAUACAGAUGUAGGUAAUAGAUAAAAAUAUCUAGCCAUGGAACUGGAGCCGACGAUAAGCGUCACAACGGCCACAUUGAUAAAAAAAUCAACUCUUAUAAAGAGCAGCAGUGGGGAAUCUUUGACAAUGGUCUAACGACUGAUCAAGUUAUCUACGAGAAAAAUAUUAAAAAUAAAAAACUAAUAAAAGAUUAACUAUAAAUUUCUAAAUAAUAGUAAUAAUGAUACUAAUUAUGAAAGAGUCCUAACUAAAAUAUGUGCCAGCAGCUGCGGUUAGACAUAGAGGGCAAGCAUUGAUCAGAAUGGCUUAAAGGAUCUGUAGAACGUAUUUUUAAAUAUAUAAAAAUAUAGAAUAAUAAAAGGUAAUAAGAAUUAAAGUUAGAGGGAUAAAAUACUAAGAAAACAUUAAGACUAUAAAGAGAUUACUUAAAAUUAUUGACGUUGUGAGAUGAAGGCUACGGUAGCGACAUGGAUUCGAUACCCAUUUAGUCGUAGCAGUAAACUAUGAAUACAAUAUAAGAAUAAUUAAAAUGAAUAGUAUUCCGCCUGACUAGUACGCUCGCAAGGGUGAAAUACAAGACAUUAGACGGUUGUAGUCCCAAGCAGUGGAACAUGUCAUUUAAUUGGAUGAUCCUCCAAGAACCUUACCAUCUCUUGAAUUAUUAACAGGCGUUACAUCGUUGUCGUCAGUUCAUGCCGUGAGGUUUAAUAUUAAGUUAUUGAAUGAACGUAACCCUUUUCUUUUAGAUAAGUAUAAUUGUAAAAUUAUAGGAAGUAGAGGUUGAAGACUAAUCAUGAUGACCCUAAUGAGAUGGGCUAUCGACGUGUUACAAUAUUAAUAACAAUUAUAUUAAUGCCAACCCACAGGGUGGGUAUUCCCGGCCGUAGGCCGGGGAUUUUAAAAUUAAAUUAAAUUAUAUUCUUAUUACAUAGGGAUUUUAUUAAAUAUUAAGAAAAAGACAUAGUUUCAUUUAUGGAUUGUAAUCUGAAAUUCGGUUACAUAAAGGAGGAAUUGCUAGUAAUCGUAAACAAUAGAGUUACGGUGAAAUUUUUUGCUACUUCGUACUAACCACUCAUCAACAGCAAGAAAUUUAUUUUUUACUUAUUGAGUUCUUAUUUAAAGGACUUGCUGUAAGUUGAAAUACGGUUCGGUUAGGGGAACCUGAUCGGGAUUUAUUUAUUUA
RNAcentral lists this ribosomal RNA (1293 nucleotides) under Metschnikowia kamakouana. RNAcentral describes it as "small subunit ribosomal RNA". It matches the Rfam family "Bacterial small subunit ribosomal RNA". The record is from RNAcentral. Lineage: Eukaryota; Fungi; Ascomycota; Pichiomycetes; Serinales; Metschnikowiaceae.